RNAcentral lists this ribosomal RNA (495 nucleotides) under uncultured bacterium. RNAcentral's name for it is "partial 16S ribosomal RNA". It matches the Rfam family "Bacterial small subunit ribosomal RNA", at positions 28 to 507 of the family's 1533-position model. The record is from RNAcentral.
GACGAACGCUGGCGGCGUGCCUAAUACAUGCAAGUAGAACGCUGAAGGAGGAGCUUGCUUCUCUGGAUGAGUUGCGAACGGGUGAGUAGCGCGUAGGUAACCUGCCUGGUAGCGGGGGAUAACUAUUGGAAACGAUAGCUAAUACCGCAUAAUAGUAGAUGUUGCAUGACAUUUGCUUAAAAGGUGCAAUUGCAUCACUACCAGAUGGACCUGCGUUGUAUUAGCUAGUUGGUGGGGUAACGGCUCACCAAGGCGACGAUGCAUAGCCGACCUGAGAGGGUGAUCGGCCACACUGGGACUGAGACACGGCCCAGACUCCUACGGGAGGCAGCAGUAGGGAAUCUUCGGCAAUGGACGGAAGUCUGACCGAGCAACGCCGCGGGAGUGAAGAAGGUUGUCGGAUCGUAAAGCUCUGUUGUAAGAGAAGAACGAGUGUGAGAGUGGAAAGUUCACACUGUGACGGUAGCUUACCAGAAAGGGACGGCUAACUACGUG